Molecule: long non-coding RNA, 587 nt
Filed under: Heterocephalus glaber (naked mole-rat)
Lineage: Eukaryota; Metazoa; Chordata; Mammalia; Rodentia; Bathyergidae
Description: lncRNA (ENSHGLG00000039239.1)
Source: RNAcentral
GUUGUUUCCUUUUUCAUCCUUUCCCCCUUCUUUUCACCCUAAAAUGGCAUAAAAGAUGGGUCUUAUAAAUUGGAUAAUCACUGAUCAAAAGAUAGUUAAAAUCUCUUCUUUUCCAUUUAGCCAUAUGUUGCUGAAAUGCAGAUGAAAUACAACUUACAGAAUAAGAAGAAACAAUCAAAUCAAGUCUAAUAGAAAAUAACCCACUGCCUUCCAAAAUUCUUGAAGUAAUUUUUUCUGAGUCAGAGAUUAUGUUCUGCUACUACCUGGAUAAGAAAACACCGAACAAAUUCAGCACCUACAGGACCACUCAGUGUGAUGGUCAUAACUAAUGUGACACCUGAGUUGAAUCCAUCCCGACUCCACAUAUACCCUGGAGCUUGCUGUCAUGGACAGAGGCAAGAGAUUUCUCAUUCUUCCCUUCUGUGUGCAGAACAUGUGGCUCCAGGACUCACCAUUUUAAAUCAGUGAGGGAAUCACAUGCAGCCAAAGCCCUUCCCAUAUUUGUCCUCUUGCUCUAAAUCAAAAGCAUUGCCUUUACCUUCUGAUUUUUUUAGCAGCAAAUAAAACAUUUUAACAUUAGAAACCAC